GUUUUGAAAAGAUUUAAAAUAAAUCUUUUUGAUAACCGGUUUAAAAGUUGUUGAGAAAGCAUAGUAAAAUCAUUUUCUCGGCAUGAUAUAUGAAAGUUGUGAGUCUAGCCCACGAGAGUCUUUGUAAGCAGGACCAACUCGUCCUCUUACUUGUUCAUAAGUUGAAAACAUUAUCAAAGUUUGUAAAUACAUGUAUUAUGAGUUUGCGUCAAAUGAAUAUCAAAAACAUUUGAAGGUUAUAGUGUUGUAAGUUGGUAUGUAAAGCGUCUAUGAACAUGUUGAUCAUUAAUGUUUCGCGAGGACAUUAAUAUAUACGACGACAUAGGAGGUACUCAACCCGCGUAGGCAAUUUUUAGUGUCGAAUCACCUCGACUGGGACACAACAGCACUCUAAGUGGUCACCCAUGGACCGUGAGUGGGGCUCGCCCGUACCCAUUAGAUCUAACCUUUGUUCCUUGGUCCUCAAAAGGAUUAAUGGCACCUCAGUUACAGCCUAUGCUCACAUGAUCUAAGAGUUCAUUCCAUAACUUAAUCAUACCUAAGUUUGACAUGUAUUUCCCCCCGAAAGUUUUGUAAACCGUAACAUUGAAAGAAAAGGGGGACAUGAUCUCACUGAGUUGUCUCGUUUUUCGUAUGCAGGCCAACCCAGUUCCGUUGUUGUAACUAGGACAUUCUCGUCACUAGUCAUGACAAUCAUGCAUGUUUGCGAAAAAAACGCGUUUGUUUUGUAAAACCGGUAUGUUUAGUAUAAACCUUUCGUAAACCUUUCGAGUUCGUUGAAAUUCAUUUGCAACAUGGUUUAUAAAGAUGUGUUUUCGUUCAUCGAAAUAGUGUUUUCUUUUGCAAAAACUUGCAUGUCUU
Molecule: long non-coding RNA, 861 nt
Filed under: Helianthus annuus (common sunflower)
Lineage: Eukaryota; Viridiplantae; Streptophyta; Magnoliopsida; Asterales; Asteraceae
Description: hypothetical non coding rna
Source: RNAcentral